Molecule: ribosomal RNA, 378 nt
Filed under: uncultured eukaryote
Lineage: Eukaryota
Description: partial 18S ribosomal RNA
Rfam family: Eukaryotic small subunit ribosomal RNA
Source: RNAcentral
CAAUAGCGUAUAUUUAAGUUGUUGCAGUUAAAAAGCUCGUAGUUGGAUUUCGGGUGUGAACGACCGGUCCGUCUUUGAUGUGUACUGGUUGGUUGCGCCUUAUUGUCGAGGACGUGGUUCUAGCUUUCAUUAGCCGGGACACGGAGUCGGCAGCGUUACUUUGAGAAAAUUAGAGUGUUCAAAGCAGGCUAUCGCUCUGAUUACUACAGCAUGGAAUAACACGAUAGGACUCCGAGCCUAUUCUGUUGGUCUUCGGGACCGGAGUAAUGAUUAAGAGGGACAGUUGGGGGCAUUCGUAUUCCGAUGUCAGAGGUGAAAUUCUUGGAUUAUCGGAAGACGAGCAUCUGCGAAAGCAUUUGCCAAGGAUGUUUUCAUUAA